AUGAGGUGCGGCAAGUUGCUUGCUGCUUAAAAGGGAAGUGCGAUGCGAUUUCGCCACGGUACCCGCCACUGUAAUUUGGAGCAAAUUAGGAUAACUCACUGAGCAAUCGGGAAGAGCUAAUGCGCGCUGAAGAUAAGUCAGGAGACCUGCCUCAUCAAGUAA
This 162-nucleotide non-coding RNA is filed under the name uncultured Metasolibacillus sp. Lineage: Bacteria; Bacillati; Bacillota; Bacilli; Caryophanales; Caryophanaceae. The record is from RNAcentral.